GUCUAUGGCCAUAUCACCCUGAACGUGCCUGAUCUCACCUGAUCUUGGAAGCUAAACAGGGUCGGGCCUGGUUAGUACUUGGAUGGGAGGCAGAGAACAGCCCAUAGGCA
RNAcentral lists this ribosomal RNA (110 nucleotides) under Microcebus murinus (gray mouse lemur). Lineage: Eukaryota; Metazoa; Chordata; Mammalia; Primates; Cheirogaleidae. The record is from RNAcentral.